GUAGCAAUACAUCGGCGGUUCUAGUGGCGCACGGGUGAGUAACACGUGGGUAACCUGCCCUUGAGUUCGGGAUACCCUUUCGAAAGGAAGGCUAAUACCGGAUACGUUCCUCGGAUUGCGAAAUCUGGGGAGGAAAGGUGGCGCAAGCUGCCGCUCUUGGAGGGGCUCGCGGCCUAUCAGCUAGUUGGUGAGGUAACGGCUCACCAAGGCUAUGACGGGUAGCUGGUCUGAGAGGACGACCAGCCACACGGGAACUGAGACACGGUCCCGACUCCUACGGGAGGCAGCAGUGGGGAAUUUUCCGCAAUGGGCGAAAGCCUGACGGAGUGACGCCGCGUGGGGGACGAAGGCCUUCGGGUUGUAAACCCCUGUCAGAGGGAAAGAAGGGUGUCGGCGCGAUAACCGCCGGCACUUGACGGUACCUUCAGAGGAAGCCCCGGCCAACUCUGUGCCAGCAGCCGCGGUAAGACAGAGGGGGCAAGCGUUGCUCGGAAUCACUGGGCGUAAAGGGCGCGUAGGCGGGAUGGCAAGUCGGUCGUGAAAUCCCUCGGCUCAACCGAGGAACGUCGGCCGAUACUGCCGUUCUUGAGGGAUGCAGAGGAGACUGGAAUUCCCGGUGUAGCGGUGAAAUGUGUAGAGAUCGGGAGGAACACCGGUGGCGAAGGCGGGUCUCUGGGCAUUUCCUGACGCUGAGGCGCGAAAGCGUGGGGAGCAAACGGGAUUAGAUACCCCGGUAGUCCACGCUGUAAACGA
RNAcentral lists this ribosomal RNA (753 nucleotides) under uncultured Chloroflexota bacterium. RNAcentral describes it as "bacterial SSU rRNA". It matches the Rfam family "Bacterial small subunit ribosomal RNA", at positions 76 to 809 of the family's 1533-position model. Lineage: Bacteria; Bacillati; Chloroflexota. The record is from RNAcentral.